Molecule: ribosomal RNA, 253 nt
Filed under: uncultured bacterium
Lineage: Bacteria
Description: partial 16S ribosomal RNA
Rfam family: Bacterial small subunit ribosomal RNA
Source: RNAcentral
UACGUAGGGGGCAAGCGUUAUCCGGAUUUACUGGGUGUAAAGGGAGCGCAGACGGCAGUGCAAGUCUGGAGUGAAAGCCCGGGGCCCAACCCCGGGACUGCUCUGGAAACUGUACGGCUAGAGUACGGGAGGGGCAGGCGGAAUUCCUAGUGUAGCGGUGAAAUGCGUAGAUAUUAGGAGGAACACCGGCGGCGAAGGCGGCCUGCUGGACCGAAACUGACGUGGAGGCUCGAAAGCGUGGGGAGCAAACAGG